RNAcentral lists this ribosomal RNA (500 nucleotides) under uncultured bacterium. RNAcentral's name for it is "partial 16S ribosomal RNA". It matches the Rfam family "Bacterial small subunit ribosomal RNA", at positions 30 to 523 of the family's 1533-position model. The record is from RNAcentral.
AUUGAACGCUGGCGGCAGGCCUAACACAUGCAAGUCGAGCGGUAGAGAGAAGCUUGCUUCUCUUGAGAGCGGCGGACGGGUGAGUAAUGCCUAGGAAUCUGCCUGGUAGUGGGGGAUAACGUUCGGAAACGGACGCUAAUACCGCAUACGUCCUACGGGAGAAAGCAGGGGACCUUCGGGCCUUGCGCUAUCAGAUGAGCCUAGGUCGGAUUAGCUAGUUGGUGAGGUAAUGGCUCACCAAGGCGACGAUCCGUAACUGGUCGGAGAGGAUGAUCAGUCACACUGGAACUGAGACACGGUCCAGACUCCUACGGGAGGCAGCAGUGGGGAAUAUUGGACAAUGGGCGAAAGCCUGAUCCAGCCAUGCCGCGUGUGUGAAGAAGGUCUUCGGAUUGUAAAGCACUUUAAGUUGGGAGGAAGGGUUGUAGAUUAAUACUCUGCAAUUUUGACGUUACCGACAGAAUAAGCACCGGCUAGCUCUGUGCCAGCCGCCGCAGUAA